GGGAGAAGCUGGAGCUUUACAGAUUGCCGGAUAGAAAUGUAAACUUAAUUUCCGAUUGAGUCGGCACAUACUACGUUUACGAGCACAUGGCCGGCUGGUUAAGAAUUCCAAUACACGAUGGCAGGGAAAGUGGGUCGGAUAUAAACUUUAGACAAGGAAUGUGUGGCGGGAAUGGAUUCGGUAAGAGUCACAAACACACACGGCGCGUCACUGGGUUGCUGUGCUAUUAGUCCUAUCAUGUUGUGCAUCCUUCUUAAAACAAAUAGCAGAGAGUGAUGCAUUCUGCAUUUAACACUGAGAAACAGCAGAGACAUGCCAACAGAGUUACCAACAUGACAUCAGAUGAAAGCAUUAGUUCCCUUACUGUAACAAAUGAUACCCUUGUCCAGAGGGGAAACUGCCAUGGUAGGGCUGGCAGUGUAGUUUUGGACAUAAGUAAAGAAGCAGGAUAUACUGUACUGUAUUAAUGAAAGCCAGAGGAAGCAAUUCCUUCAAAGAUACACAAACAGCUAACAUUGUGGGACUAUCCCUCAGAGGAUACAGACCCCAAAACUAAUACGUUGAGGAGAAUCUCUCGCCUACAGGAUUUCAUGUUGCCAUUAAAAAAAUGAAAAAAUAUAUAUAUAUAUACGUGCGACAUUAAAAAUACACUUAACAGACAUUUUGGCAAAUGUGGAUCCCCUUGAAGCAUGCUUGAUAAGACAAUGGACUUACAUGUCUCGUAUUAAAAUAGACGUUAAAAUAGAUGUCAAUUCUCAGGACAAUAUAUAACAUUCACCGUUUCAAGCUACACUGAAAGUUACUGAGAGGAAAGGUCGUGUGUGGGUGCACUGAAACAUAACAGUAUUACAACAGUAUACCGUGCAUACACACCACAGUCAAAUUACCAUAGGAAAAGCAUUGAUAUUCAGGUAAACAGGAGGACAAAAGCACAACAGCAUUCAAAUGCUAUUCAAAUGCAGGAUGUACGUUCCACAGUCCAUUUGAGUUGCUGUUGUUGUGCUAGAUAGCGGUUUGAUAACCAAUCCACGAAAGCAGCAGUCGUUCUGGAGCCGAAACGUUUCAUCUCGGACAUCGAACAUACCGUGUGUUUUAUAAAGUUUCUCGCAUUACAUUUACAAAGAAACAAGCUACUCAGACAAAGCGAAGCUUUUCUCCCCAGAGAAAGCAGUUGGAAGUCCAGGUGGCAUGUGGCCUAUGGAUUCUAUCUUGGCAAUAACAGCACCUCUUAUAUUUUGGAGAGACAUCGUUUAGGUUAUUAAUAUAGACAUAAUAAUAACAACAUAUAGCUAAAUGCAUAGCUAAAACAUACCACUUAGACUCGAAGGUAAUAACAUCACACUAAACACAAUGUGAUUUUAUUUUCUAUAUUCAGUGUUAGGUAAACUAGGUAAGAGAUAUGAAAACAUGGGCUUACAUCCACAUUUUAAAAUAUAGAUUUAACACAGAAAGACAUUUUGUACAAAUUCACUUAUAUUGAGGGAGUUGAAAUCUUGAGUAAAUGUAAGGUUUGCAUUUGCAGUAUUUUUCCACUAUGUGGCGGCAUCUCUCUCUCGCUCUGUGUGUGAGUGACAUGCCUUGAAUAAAGUGGACAAUGUUCUCUCUUCUACACAACCGACAAUCAUAUCUGUUCUACCU
Molecule: long non-coding RNA, 1638 nt
Organism: Oncorhynchus tshawytscha (Chinook salmon)
Lineage: Eukaryota; Metazoa; Chordata; Actinopteri; Salmoniformes; Salmonidae
Source: Ensembl